UGCUAAAAUAGUAAUUUCAUCUCCUUUCCUCACUAACUCAUUUAUGCAUUCAGUAAGUGUUUUCUGAGUACCUAUCAUGUGCACUAUCUGAGUACCUAUUUUGGGUGAUGGAGUACAUUUUGUUUAGAAAUUUACAAAAGCAUUUUAAUUUGCAGGUAAUAUAACAGAAAUCUGCAUAAAGUAGAGAAAGAGGAAAAAAGAUGAUAUUGAUUAACUCCACUGAGAAUCAAAGGAAGUGGGAUGGUGAUCAGGAAAAGUUUCACAGAAGAGAAAAGAUCCAGUAGAGGAGAGACUGGAAAUAUAAGAAAGAGAGAAAUAAAGUGAGACAGGAAGAAAAAGAGAGAAGGAAGACAGAAGAUGGAGGAGAGGAGAGAGAACAGAGAAAGAAUCAUGUCCAGAAGAGGAAUUCUUGGAGUGUUGAGCUAAAAAGGAUAGAGAAGAGGAAAAGUCUAACAGUCGGAAAAAAAAAAAAAAAGGAAGAGAUAUUUCUUUCUCUAGAGUGAGAUGGAUUUCAUCCAAGAAAAUCCCACCAUUCAUCUCAACUCCUUCCUUCACAGGAACAACCAGAUGACAUGUUGGCUGUCUUCAUUAGUGUCCCAUAGAGACCCUCCAAGAUUCCCCGACACUACGCAAUCCUCAACCCAUGCAGGCUGCUGAUGUAAAUGCCAAGUAUUGUUUGUGAGACAGAGAUAGGAUUGUGGAUGCCACAGACCCAUCUGUGGCUUUAGAACGACUGUUGUUUUAAGAAAUGGCCUUCUCUGUGACCUGCCUGCUAUUUCAGAGACGGUAUGUCGGUCACCAUCAAACAGACUUGGAAUUAACAUAAAGAUGAAACAGCUGAGGCAGUGAGCGCAUUACUGGAAACUCAGAAUCACUGUGGUGAAGCGUUCCCCACUCAAGUAAAAAGGAGCCUUUAAAGAAGACUGUGCAAUUUACAAAUCUUGGUUGAGAAUGUGUCCUUUGUGUUUCUCUUUUGGAGCUGAAUUUUAUGAAUUGCUGAAAACGGAACCCUAAGUAAUACUUGUAGUGAUCAUAAGAAUUUUUUUUUUUCCCUAAGUGUGCACAAAUAAAGUUCUAAAUGCC
Molecule: long non-coding RNA, 1083 nt
Filed under: Equus caballus (horse)
Lineage: Eukaryota; Metazoa; Chordata; Mammalia; Perissodactyla; Equidae
Description: lncRNA (ENSECAG00000040407.3)
Source: RNAcentral